UACGCCCAAAUCACAUUGUAACACCAGUUCCCGUACGAUCAUCGAAGUGAAGCAACCUGGAGUCUGGUCCGUACCGAAAUGGGUAACCACGUAGGAAUACCAGGUACUGUAAG
Acanthosepion pharaonis is the source of this 113-nucleotide non-coding RNA. NCBI's taxonomy places the organism in Eukaryota, Metazoa, Mollusca, Cephalopoda, Sepiida, Sepiidae. The record is from the annotation of a GenBank genome assembly.